This 631-nucleotide long non-coding RNA is filed under the name Gadus morhua (Atlantic cod). RNAcentral's name for it is "lncRNA (ENSGMOG00000025951.1)". Lineage: Eukaryota; Metazoa; Chordata; Actinopteri; Gadiformes; Gadidae. The record is from RNAcentral.
ACCCAACCAAAAAGGCAAAAGAAAACAAAAAUCUCUCACACACAAUCCGUCCAAUGAGCUUCCAGGAACUUCGCGGUUUUAGUGGAGCUAAACUUUGCAUGCCUACACGAUAAAACGUUUUGAUUUGUACUCGUAAUCGCGUUAUAGUCUGACCCAACUACAUCAAAAUUGGUCGCAACCCAUUUUAGAUACGGAAUACAUGGUUCUCAGUCGUAGGUACUUUAAGGUCUUUUCGACGGUCCAACUAUUGUAGCUGUUGUAGCUUUAUUAAGCUCAAAGUGCUUUCACACUUUUAUGCUAACCACUUAGCCAACCCUAGCCGCCACUUCUUACCCGUGUUUGUAUGGUGUAACUUGUUCAUGGUCACUGUGUUUAACCUAUUUGAACAUAGCUUAUUCCUCUUAUCCCCAUCAAGAACAUGGAGUCAAUUCGGGAAUCAGAUGGUGAAAGUUUGGGCGAGAUGGAAAGCAGCACUAGCGAUCCUGACAGUGAGUUUGAGGCCCAGUUUGAAUCUGGGCGGCAGAGAAAGCGGCCUGUUCCUGUCCCUGUGUCCGUGCCCAAACAGGUAAAUUAAGAUAUUUUUUUCUGCAUUAAUCAGUUUCUCAAUGUGCCCAGCCACUAAUUCACCAGA